CAAUAGCGUAUAUUAAAGUUGUUGCGGUUAAAAAGCUCGUAGUUGGAUUUCUGCUGAGGACGACCGGUCCGCCCUCUGGGUGAGUAUCUGGCUCGGCCUUGGCAUCUUCUUGGGGAACGUAACUGCACUUGACUGUGUGGUGCGGUAUCCAGGACUUUUACUUUGAGGAAAUUAGAGUGUUUCAAGCAGGCGCACGCCUUGAAUACAUUAGCAUGGAAUAAUAAGAUAGGACCUUGGUUCUAUUUUGUUGGUUUCUAGAGCUGAGGUAAUGAUUAAUAGGGAUAGUUGGGGGCAUUCGUAUUUAACUGUCAGAGGUGAAAUUCUUGGAUUUAUGAAAGACGAACUUCUGCGAAAGCAUUUGCCAAGGAUGUUUUCAUUAA
This 380-nucleotide ribosomal RNA is filed under the name uncultured eukaryote. Its description in RNAcentral is "partial 18S ribosomal RNA". It matches the Rfam family "Eukaryotic small subunit ribosomal RNA", at positions 592 to 976 of the family's 1831-position model. The record is from RNAcentral.